GUAUAAAGCUGACAGGUGGUAUAGGCAGCAAGAGGCAGGGGAUCUACUGUCUGGAGGUGGUUCCUGGUUCACCUGCCUGUGAGGAAGGCAGCGUCCAACCAAACGACAGGAUCCUGUACAUCUGUGGCCGAUGCACCAUGGGAAUGACUUUGGAGGAUGCUGUCAAGGCCUGCGAGAACGCUCCACGCAAAGUGAAACUCAAGGCCACCAGAGAUGAUCAGCCUGUGACGCCCAAAGCCAAGAGGAAUGGUGUGUAUCAGACCAUAUAGGGAGAUGAUGAGCACUAUGUUCAGUUCAGAACUCCUCUUGAUGUGGAUGACUGCUGGUUCAAAGAGAAACAGAAACUCUGGAAGGUGGCCAAGUGGUGCAAUAGGUUAAGUUGAUAUAAUGAGAGGUUCGUAGAUUGACACCUCAUUGAGGAUUAGAUGCUAUUCUCAGAUCAAUCGUUACCAGUUGAUACCCAUACCUCAGACAGAGACAGAGGCUUAAUAGUUUGGCGUUUCAACUAGUGGAGGCUGCUGAGUGGAGGAUGGCUCAUAAUAAUGGCUGUAAUGAAGUGUAAAGGCCUUUAAUUAAGUGAAUGAAAUGGUAUCAAAACAAUGAGAACCAUGUGUUUGAUACCGUUCUGUUCACUCCAUUCUGGCCAUUAUUAUGAGCCGUCCUCCCCUCAGCAGCCUCUACUGGUUUCAAAAUAGGGUGGCAGGUAGCUUAGCGUUUAAGAGCGUUGGGCCAGUAACCAAAAGGUCACUAGUUUGAAUCCCAGACCCGACUAGGUGAAACAUCUGAUGUGCCCUUGAGCAUGGCACUUAACUCUAAUUGAGUCAUCAUCUUGUAAGUCGCUCUGGAUAAGAGCAUCUGCUAAUUGACAAAAAUGCAUGACAGUGUGAUUCUGGGUCCUGUCUGUCUAGGUCUCAGUGACCUGAGAGAGUGGAAGAAGGAGAAGGAAUGGAAGUAUUUCACUCAUUUUGAGGAACCUGUCUCUCCUGAGCCAGAGACACCUACUGAGCAGGCUAAAGCCGUGACCGAGACCACUGGGAAAUUCAGAUCACGUCUCUCUGUCACCUCAGAUCAAGAUAGCUGUAUCUUGCAGAUAGAUCUCUGUAAGCCAGAGGGAGGGUGGCUGGGCUUUGCUCUGAUUGGAGGAUGCAAUGGGAGCGUGCUCAGAGUGAAGAAGAUCUGCACUGGAGGCGUGGCCCACCAAGACGGGCGGCUCAGAGUGGGAGACAUACUGCUCGAGGUACGCACAAGCACGUACACACACACACACUUAUCAAUAACUGAUUAUGAGUCCUAACAUUACUUUUAAUAUAUUUGUAGUAAAUACAGUGAGCUCCAAAAGUAUUGGGACAGUAACAUUUUGUUUUUGUUUUGGCUCUGUACUCCAGCACUUUGGAUUUGAAAUGAUACAAUGACUAUGAGGUUAAAGUGCAUUUUGGGUAAACCGUUUGAGAAAUUACAGCACUUUUUGUAUGUAGUCCCUCAAUUUUAGAGGACCAAAGGUAUUGGGACAAAUUCACUUACUAUAUAUGUAUAAAAAUAGUA
Molecule: long non-coding RNA, 1542 nt
Filed under: Oncorhynchus mykiss (rainbow trout)
Lineage: Eukaryota; Metazoa; Chordata; Actinopteri; Salmoniformes; Salmonidae
Description: lncRNA (ENSOMYG00000076320.1)
Rfam family: UnaL2 LINE 3' element (bases 819-872)
Source: RNAcentral